Long non-coding RNA from Haliotis rubra (blacklip abalone), 2544 nucleotides. RefSeq lists it as uncharacterized. The transcript has 2 exons. The record is from RefSeq and is a predicted model, not a curated record. Lineage: Eukaryota; Metazoa; Mollusca; Gastropoda; Lepetellida; Haliotidae.
UUCUCUCAUACGCGGGGUUAUCUUGUAGAGGUACACCUCCCCUCCCUGGGGUGUGGCGGGCGCUGUCUGGAUGGCCUUGCUCUCAUCUGGAAUCCUCAGAAUCUUUACAAUGUCCUCCACUUUAAGGGUUGAUGUUCUUCCUGUGAGAAACUGUUCAACACAAACAACCACAUUGCCUCCCAGUAUGAACACCAGUUGGCACAUGGAGGCAAGUUCAAUCGUAUUAAUGGUUUCUUUUAAUUAAAAGAAGGAUUGUUAGUUUAAUAUGUUUUAUCAGGUCCAAUCCUUCUAUGUGUACUCCGAAAUGUUUUCUUUAUACAUACCGGUAUAUUAGCUACAUGUUAUACUAUUUCUUUCCUACUUUAACAUACUUUAACAAAUCACUAAUUUAUGUGAAUUUUGAAUGUCAAUCUAAUACAUAAAACGCACACGUAUUGGUACAGACUAUGCUUAUUGUGAUUUGAUUCUUGUAGGGCAGACACCAUGGAGCCACGCACUUGCUGUAACUGAAGACCAACUGGAUACACCUGUAUCUGCACGAAAUCUCAGUCGUGUUGGAAGCCACAUUGGUAUAGGAUACGAGUCAGUGGGGAUCGAGCUUGGACUUACUCUAGUUAAAUUGGAGCAGGGCAAAGUUGCACAUCCAUGUUCACUGCAUAUGCAGAUUGUACACAUGCUGACCAAGUGGAAGGAGAAGAACGGCAGAUCUGCCACUGGUCUGGUCCUCGUCAGAGCAUUAUGGAGAUGCAAUGACAGAUGUACGAUAGAGUGGGAGGACAUUCUCAACAUUCUUCAGUAAUAGACAUCUAAUUCUUCGUAGCCAAGCAACUUGGUAUCUUUUACAGAGGAAACUAUCCACUUCAAAAUUACUCAGAUUCCCGGACAUGAAGCCCAAACGUGAAAUCAUGACGUAAUUAAACACCGCUUUCAUUGCUUGUGCUCUUGGGGAUGCUCACGUAUUUGUACCAGUGACUCAGUGCUCAACCCAUGUAAAGUAAGUGUAUGCAUUCUGUAUAAAACGCAUGUUUCACAUGUCUCUAGAAUUUAAAUUGAACCUAAUGCACGAUUCUGUCCUUAUCGUCUUGUUGCAUUGUUCGUGUUAUAUGUAAUGUAUUGUAUUGUGUAGUUCUAUAUUUUCAUUCCAUUGUAUUGUGCUAAAUGUCAUGCAUGUUAUUGUUUGGGGUUUGUGGUGGGUUGCAUUUGGACUCAAUGUCAUGGUGAUCGAAUUAGACAAAGUUUCACACUCUGCAUUAUAUGGAGACCGUCUACAUGCUUAUUAAGUGAAAAAGUGGCUGUGCGUUUGAAAUAAAGGACACGAUAAACAUUCUAUAGUCACCAUGGACUCAGUGUGUCAUAUGUUCAUAUUAGCAUUCAUGUUUGAUGCUUACCUAUGUUUCAAGAAUAAAUAUUGUCGUUUCAACUAAACCUUUCUCGUUUAUUUCUUCAUUGAACGUGGGUAUGAUAUGUCUAUGUUAGUCUCUGUGUAUUUGGUGAAAGUCCAUCUGUCGUAGUUCCAUCUGUCCCAGACGAUAAUCAGGGGAUGUUAUAACAUUAUUUCUACCUUCCCCAAUACCCUGUCGUUAUUGCUAGACACAACUGGAGAGAAUCAGAAUUUGUGACUUUGCUGAUUGUUUGUCAAAAUAAUUACGUCAGCUUUGAUGUUUUCCCUCAGGGGUUUGUCGGACCCUCAAUUAGUCCGUCGUGAUACAGUAGUUCCCCGUUCUUUUCUCUGAUGUUUCAUAACAUUCACACAGCUUGUCUGAAAACGUGGGGUUUGGACGCUACAUACACAAUCAACAUGGAUAUAUGUAAUCAUGUGAGACAGUAUUGUAUUUUAAAAGCAAAUGUUUCAGAUUAAUUUGCAUGUUGUAUCCGUGAGAAUGUUCUAUACAUCUUAGUGCAGUCUGAUGGAGCUCAAUUAUCCCUUUAAGUUUAAUUCAAGAUCAAGACUGAUUAAUGUGGCAAACACAGCAAACUGAUCACUCCCUGUUGAGUCUCCUAUGUUCCAAACCCACAUACAUCAAAAUGCCCAUUCUGUACUAAAUGCUUCAUGAGUAGCAUGAUAUGAAUUGGUUGUUCCUGUCCAUCUACUGCUCUCAAACAAUCAUCAUAGUAUCUUGAGUAACACACGAAACGUCAUAUACUAUGUCGGACUGUCGGACUGGUUUACCUUUGUAACGGAUUUUGCACACUGUCAGAGAUCUAUUAACAGAAUGAAUGAGUGCGUGUUUCCGUGUAUGCCUGCAUUCGUGUAUGUAUCAUGUGUACUAUUAUAUAUACACCACUAAUUUAUGUGCUUGUAUUACCACACUUUUAGCUUUCAUUAUUGUAUAAACAUGAAUCCAAAACCUAUGCAAUGGAAGUGAAUUAUACAUCAGUCGUAUUCAUAAUACGGCUUCCCUAAUCGCAAUACUGUCGCCUCUGUCGUGAAGGUAUUAUAUAUGCAACCAUGUCUGGACACUGUUCACAUGCAUAACUAUUGUUUCCCCGUGUAUAUAACAUUGUGAUUGUAUUUUACGUCUUAAGAAUAAAUAUUUUAAAUGA